RNAcentral lists this ribosomal RNA (406 nucleotides) under uncultured bacterium. Its description in RNAcentral is "bacterial SSU rRNA". It matches the Rfam family "Bacterial small subunit ribosomal RNA", at positions 29 to 431 of the family's 1533-position model. The record is from RNAcentral.
AGUGAACGCUGGCGGCAGGCCUAAUACAUGCAAGUCGAACGGCAGCACAGCAGAGCUUGCUCUGUGGGUGGCGAGUGGCGGACGGGUGAGGAAUACAUGGGAAUCUGCCCAGUCGUGGGGGAUAACGUAGGGAAACUUACGCUAAUACCGCAUGCGCCCUUCGGGGGAAAGCCGGGGACCCUCGGGCCUGGCGCGAUUGGAUGAGCCCAUGUCGGAUUAGCUAGUUGGCGGGGUAAUGGCCCACCAAGGCGACGAUCCGUAGCUGGUCUGAGAGGAUGAUCAGCCACACUGGAACUGAGACACGGUCCAGACUCCUACGGGAGCAGCAGUAGGGAAUAUUGGACAAUGGGCGCAAGCCUGAUCCAGCCAUGCCGCGUGAGUGAAGAAGGCCCUCGGGUUGUAAAGC